This 301-nucleotide ribosomal RNA is filed under the name uncultured bacterium. Its description in RNAcentral is "partial 16S ribosomal RNA". It matches the Rfam family "Bacterial small subunit ribosomal RNA", at positions 509 to 807 of the family's 1533-position model. The record is from RNAcentral.
CAGCAGCCGCGGGAAAACGAGGGGGGCAAGCGUUGUUCGGAAUUAUUGGGCGUAAAGGGCGCGUAGGCGGUUUGGCAAGUUUGGUGUGAGAUCUUCGGGCUCAACUCGAAGUCUGCAUCGAAAACUGCCGGGCUUGAGUAUGGGAGAGGUGAGUGGAAUUUCCGGUGUAGCGGUGAAAUGCGUAGAGAUCUGGAGGAAUACCGAUGGCGAAGGCAGCCAUCUGGCCUAAUACUGACGCUGAGGUACGAAAGCAUGGGGAGCAAACAGGAUUAGAUACCCCUGUAGUCCCUGUCUCUUAUAC